Molecule: long non-coding RNA, 183 nt
Organism: Empidonax traillii (willow flycatcher)
Lineage: Eukaryota; Metazoa; Chordata; Aves; Passeriformes; Tyrannidae
Exons: 3
Source: RefSeq, a predicted model, not a curated record
UCCAAGCCAUUUCCAAGGGAAGUGAAACACAAAAUGCCACUCUUUCUGCAGGACAUGCCUCGUGUGGCUCAGGUAGUGAAGGUGCAGAACAGCCAGGUGGAGAUCACACAUCCUCCCAGCUACUUCAGCUCUGACACAUGAACCUGGACAGCAUUUAGGAUGAGCUCUGAGACACAGUUCAGG